Molecule: long non-coding RNA, 3883 nt
Filed under: Brassica napus (rape)
Lineage: Eukaryota; Viridiplantae; Streptophyta; Magnoliopsida; Brassicales; Brassicaceae
Description: long non-coding RNA (BNAP_LNC011975)
Source: RNAcentral
UGUUUUGGAUGCAGCAUUAUUCGUUGCCGCUAGGACCAAUCCUGAUAGACUAGUUGCAGUUUUGCUUUGCGGAUCUUGUUCAAGUGAUUGGAUGCAAAAAUCAUACUUGAGAUUAGGGUCUUUUGCUGCAGCUGUUUUGCAGGAAUCUCGAAUCAAGGUUUGCGCGGCUGCGAAACAGUUUAGGAGGAGAAAGAACAUUACAACUGAAACGAAGAACUUCAUGCUUUUGUUUUCUUUGUGAGAGAUGAGAAUAUAUGAAUAUGAUGUUAACUUUGUGAUUCACGAGGCUGAUAUAUAUAUAUAUAUAUCUGACGUAAGGGUAUAUGUCAUUGUUUCCCGUUUUCUUGUGUGUUAUAAACUUAUUAUAAAAAGAAUAUUUCAGUUUUAGUAAGAAGAUACUAUUUCAUAUUAAAAACUCUGUUUACAUUUUUAAAAACUAUAAUAUAUUCACUUGGAUUAUUUCUCAAAUUGUCAAUUUAUCUGAACAUGGUCAACAUGUAACAGUAGUUUUCCAUAUAUACACGUCGUCAGAUUUAGUCAACUCUCAGAGCAUCAUUACUGGUUCAAUUUCUUAGUGGAGUACCUGAUGAGUUUAAUAUUAAUAGAGUUUUAUUGUGUAAUUAAAAUUAAAACCAAUAAUAUGUACAUAACCAUUCGUAAAGUAACAUGUGGCAAGAUGGAUUGUGUUGUACGUUUAUGAAAGCUUUCUAUUUUAUGAUCUCUAAGCUGGAGUUUUGAUGUUCUUUCUGGUCUUUUUAUUGUUGUAUCUGGUGAUGAUAUGAUACAAAAAGCCAAGAGGUAUGGGAUCUGCAUGUUUUCAAAUAGUGCAUAGGAAAAAACAGAGGUUCAGACAAGAGCUACAAGAAGGCUCACCUAAGAAAUAUAAGCCUUUGGCCGGAGCUUCUCACGCCAAAGGACUCGUCCUUGAGCUCAUGUAAGACAUAGAAUAUGCUUCUUUAUCUAUUUUUUUUGUGUGUGUGGACAUUGUUGAUGAUGAGCGAUUCUCUGUCUGUUUGAUUAUGCAGAGGAAUGUAGGCUAAGCAGCCAUGUUCUGGUAUAUGUAAGUGUACUAGAGUACAACUUGUCAAGAAUGGAAAGAAGAUUGCUGCUUUUGUCCCCAACGAUGGUUGUUUGAACCUCAUUGAGCCAAAUGUAAGCUGAAUGAAUAAAGCCUUUUGUAACCAUUUAUGAUUAGUUUUGUCAAAGGUUGAAUUCAUGUUUUGUGUUAUGUUGUUUGCAGGACGAGGUUUGAUAUCUGGAUUUGGGCGUAAGAGUCAUACUGUGGGAGAUAUUCCAGGCGUAAGGUACAAGGUCGUCAAGGUUUCUGGUGUUUUACUCUCUGCUCUCUACAAGGACAAGAAGGAGAAGCCAAGGUCUUAAAACAAAACCUUCAAAGCUUUGAAUUUUAUUUUUGAUGGCAUAAGCACUUUUCAGUAUUUUAGUUAAAUAAAAGAACUCUUGUGUUAUGUUCUACUUUGGGAUUCAGUAACUUGGUGUGUUAAAUCUUGUAUUCUGAUGACCAUUUGAGUUUUUAGUUUAUUCGACCUUAUAAUAUGUCACUGCCAAUGGCAUGGAAUUCUAUUACUAAUCCAAAACAAGUGAUACAUAUCACUACAUAAUGUACUCAUUCGUAAUCCUGGCAAUUAUAAGUCAUAAAGAUAAACAAAAGUCACACAGCCAGCUUACAAAUUGAAUAAGGUAGCCAAACAAGUUUAAGAUCACAUCAGUGACCAAUCAAAACAGACCAGAAACUAAACAGACCAUAUCUAAUAUACAUAAAUAAUUUUAUAAUCAAUUAUACAUUUUAACUCAUACAAAAUUUUAACAAUAAUCUAUUGUAAAAAUUAAAUUUAGUAAAACAUAAGAUAAUCCACUAAAAUAUAUAAAAUUAAGCAAAAAAAUUAUGUAAAUUUAUUUACAAGUUUGUUUCUUUUCUACUAACAAUAAAAAAAAAGAACAGGAUGGGUUUUUUUUAUCAUCCAACUACAGAAAAUCACAAAAUAAAUGAUGUAAUGCCACAUCAAAUUCUUAAUAUAUAAUUAAAACAUAGAUUACUUACCAAAAGAAAAUCAUCUUGAACCUUUUAACAAGAAAAAAAAAAUUCAAAAAUUUAAAAAAUCAUAACUAAUUUUUCAGAUAACAUGGUUUAUUUAGUUGUUCAUAUACAAUAACAUGCACAAAAUUUAACUAUUAUGUAUAUUUCUAAAUAAUAAAAAUUUAUAUUAAAUAUUUACUCUAGUUACUUAAUUUAUUUGUUAAUUUUCAUCCCGCAUUUAGGGCGGACCAGCCCUAGUAUAAUUAUAACAUACUGUAUUGAUUUUUUCCGCUAAGACAGUGGAGUAUUUAAAUUUUCUUUUUUUUGCAGAUAUUAUUUUUAGGGUCUUUUUGAAAAAAAAAUUUUCAAAUAAUAGCAAAUAUUUCCAAUGGAAUAAUUUUCCUUUGCUCUUAAAUUUAUUAUUAGGUAAACGAAAAUCCACAUUACAUAAUGCAAGAACUUAUGGUAAUUUCAUCAGAGCAUAUUGGUAAAAGCUAAAGGAAUCAAAAUCUUCUGAAACAAAACAUUGUUCUCGUUUGUAACGGGAGAUUUAGCGUGCUUCUCUUUGAAACCAUCUUCACAAGUGACAGGUUCAUCCAAAGCAGCACUCAGAUGCAUAUUAGCACUUUUGUAAUCACUGGAUUUAACGUUCAUCAAAGCUUCUUUUAAAGAACCAUAAGCAUCGUCAUAAAGCUUUACGCAAGUGCGUAACGCGGGUUCAGUACUCGGUGCAUACUUUUUGCUCUUGAGAAUAGUCUCAACUAUCCCUUUCACGUUAAUUGUUUUGGAUGCAGCAUUAUUCGUUGCCGCUAGGACCAAUCCUGAUAGACUAGUUGCAGUUUUGCUUUGCGGAUCUUGUUCAAGUGAUUGGAUGCAAAAAUCAUACUUGAGAUUAGGGUCUUUUGCUGCAGCUGUUUUGCAGGAAUCUCGAAUCAAGGUUUGCGCGGCUGCGAAACAGUUUAGGAGGAGAAAGAACAUUACAACUGAAACGAAGAACUUCAUGCUUUUGUUUUCUUUGUGAGAGAUGAGAAUAUAUGAAUAUGAUGUUAACUUUGUGAUUCACGAGGCUGAUAUAUAUAUAUAUAUAUCUGACGUAAGGGUAUAUGUCAUUGUUUCCCGUUUUCUUGUGUGUUAUAAACUUAUUAUAAAAAGAAUAUUUCAGUUUUAGUAAGAAGAUACUAUUUCAUAUUAAAAACUCUGUUUACAUUUUUAAAAACUAUAAUAUAUUCACUUGGAUUAUUUCUCAAAUUGUCAAUUUAUCUGAACAUGGUCAACAUGUAACAGUAGUUUUCCAUAUAUACACGUCGUCAGAUUUAGUCAACUCUCAGAGCAUCAUUACUGGUUCAAUUUCUUAGUGGAGUACCUGAUGAGUUUAAUAUUAAUAGAGUUUUAUUGUGUAAUUAAAAUUAAAACCAAUAAUAUGUACAUAACCAUUCGUAAAGUAACAUGUGGCAAAGUCUAUGUGCGACCAGACGUUUCUUCCCAUUUGACGCUCUCUCUCUUGCUUUAUUAAUUUUUUAUUAUUAUAAAUGUCAGUCUCAUGAGUUACUCUUCCACUGCAUGUGCUCUUAGCUUUCCAUAUCAUACAUAAAAUAUCAAAAAUGAGAUCUCUUCUACAGUUAUUAAAAAACAAAAAUAUACCUUUUAAUAUUGAUUUUCUCAAAAUCAUAUUUGAGAUUAGGGUCUUUUGCUGCAGCCGUUUUGCAAGAAUCUCGAAUCAAGGUUUGCGCGGCAGCGAAACAGUUUAAGAGUAGAAAAAACAUUACAACUGAAACGAAGAACUUCAUGCUUUUGUUUUCUUUGUUAGAGAUGAGAAGAGAUGACUACGAUGUUAACUUUGUGAUUCAC